Molecule: transfer RNA, 77 nt
Filed under: Ixodes scapularis (black-legged tick)
Lineage: Eukaryota; Metazoa; Arthropoda; Arachnida; Ixodida; Ixodidae
Rfam family: tRNA
About the family: Transfer RNA (tRNA) molecules are approximately 80 nucleotides in length.
Source: Rfam by way of RNAcentral
CCCUGGUUAGCUCAGUUGGUAGAGCGCUCCACUUGUAAUGGAGACUGAGGUCCCGGAUUCGAUACCCGGACCAGGCA